ACUUCCAUGAUGAGCAUAUACUAAAAUUGGUACAAUACAAAGAAGAUUAGCAUGACCCCUGUACAAGGACGACACGUAAAUUCGUGGAGCGUUUCGAAUUUUU
Molecule: small nuclear RNA, 103 nt
Filed under: Dracunculus medinensis (Guinea worm)
Lineage: Eukaryota; Metazoa; Nematoda; Chromadorea; Rhabditida; Dracunculidae
Source: RNAcentral